Molecule: non-coding RNA, 24 nt
Filed under: Arabidopsis thaliana (thale cress)
Lineage: Eukaryota; Viridiplantae; Streptophyta; Magnoliopsida; Brassicales; Brassicaceae
Source: RNAcentral
ACCCUAAUAUCCAGCAGACAAAGC